UUGUAGGAACAAGGGUAAACUUACCCGAUGAUUGCCCAAAUAUGAAUGGCUAUAUAUACAGAUAUAGUUGAAUAGUUUCAAAUCAACAUUGAAACCGUUGAAAGAAACGAAGUUGUAUAUCUAAAAAAUUACAAAGGUAUAUAUGAAGAACAUACAAUCAAUGUUAUUGUUCGCCUUAGUAUGCAUGUCCUUAUUCGGGUUGCUCACAAGCCAUGUUCACAUUGUGUCGAACGCCUGUUUCUGUGAUUUAUCUGAGAGGCAAGUUCAACAUAUAUCUCACGACGGAACAAAUAUUACUGUCACUCAACAUCAUUGUGUGCUAACAAUAAAGGAUUUUAGUAGACAUGAGGACUCGUUAGAGACAGCACCAGACUGUUGUUGUGUGGCAACUUUCGAAGUGGAGACACUGCGACAUCAUUUAUACUACAGGCGUGUAGACGGAUGCAAUGUUGUGGCUUGUUAAUGAAAUCUGGAAAGUAGAUCCCUGGGAAGCACCGAGAACAAGGCAAACAGUGACAAAGCCAUGUGACAAAGCAACACUGGGACAUGUUCCUUUAAAUUAUAACAACCAUUCAAUGGAGCUGACUAGAAUUCGAGACUGACAUUAAAAUAACACCUUAAGUCAAAUCAAUGAAAAAUUCCAUUUUGAUUUAUCUAUCAUUAAUAAAUUGUUUAAUUUAUUUACACACGUCUAUAAAUUAUAUUAAACUAAGCGUUUGUGAUUUAUUCCUUUCUAACGAAUAGAUAAGACGACAAAAUCUA
Mercenaria mercenaria is the source of this 762-nucleotide long non-coding RNA. RefSeq lists it as uncharacterized. NCBI's taxonomy places the organism in Eukaryota, Metazoa, Mollusca, Bivalvia, Venerida, Veneridae. The record is from RefSeq and is a predicted model, not a curated record. The transcript has 3 exons.